CUUGUUUCCAGGGUUAGUGGUAUGGUAUAGUAACUCACUGUCUGAGGAGCUGAUGACCUUGUUUCCAGGGUUAGUGGUAUGGUAUAUUAACUCACUGUCUGAGGAGCUGAUGACCUUGUUUCCAGGGUUAGUGGUAUGGUAUAGUAUAGUAACUCACUGUCUGAGGAGCUGAUGACCUUGUUUCCAGGGUUAGUG
Molecule: non-coding RNA, 195 nt
Organism: Oncorhynchus mykiss (rainbow trout)
Lineage: Eukaryota; Metazoa; Chordata; Actinopteri; Salmoniformes; Salmonidae
Source: RefSeq, a predicted model, not a curated record